Molecule: unclassified non-coding RNA, 1260 nt
Filed under: Harpegnathos saltator (Jerdon's jumping ant)
Lineage: Eukaryota; Metazoa; Arthropoda; Insecta; Hymenoptera; Formicidae
Description: uncharacterized LOC105184001, transcript variant X2
Source: RNAcentral
UUAUUAUUUAAUAUGCAACUUACAUUAACAUGGAAUGUCUAAUUGACUUAAUGUCUCGAAGCUACUGAAUAUGAAUUUCUGCUCAAAUCUCUUCCUUUCUGUAGGAAGUUUUUGGCUGUUUCGGUUACUUUCCUCUACAUUUAUAUUGAUGAGUUGAAGCACUUGUUUCUACGAGAUGUUUAAAAUUCGGCUGACUUUACGAGUGUUAACACUCGUAACCAGGGUUGGGUACGCAUAAUACCUCAUGUUUUAUGCGCAGAGUUGUAUGCGCAGAAAACUCGAGUAUUCUGCGCAGAAAACUGAGCGAGGUUUUCUGCUGCAUAAAACUCCUCUUAUGCAGAAAACCUCCUUUAAGUGAAAAUGUCAAAUACAGGAGGAAGACGUUCUCAUGAUUAUUAUAUUGAAGGUGAAUUUAUCAGGGUCAGAGAAAAUGGAAAAUAUUUUGCAAUUUGCAAAUUAUGCAAUACAAGGUUGUGCACUACUGCAGUAAAACACCUGAAAACUCAUCGAAAAACCUUAAAGUGGUUACCGGCGAAAAUGGACUUGGUUUGAGAAAAUGUGGCGCCCCCUGAAAAAAUGGUCAUCAACUACAUUGAUUACGUUAGAGAGAAACCUGAGAGCGGCCACGGCCGCGUUUUGCUUGAGGCGCUUUUUCGCGACUAAAGCCACUAGAUAUAUAAAGUACCGCAAUCCGUGGUAAACGACAUGGAAUAAAAAUGGCGUCGGAAGUGUACUUAGUGCAAACGUGCAACUUAUCUACACACUAAGUGCAAUUCUACAAACAGCUAUUGAGUUGUUUCUCGUGUAAGAAAUGUCACAUAUUGACAGGUGUGAAGAGAUUGUGAUACGAGAUUGUAAUAAAAAGAAAAAAUGACAGGUUGUUGCGUGAAUGGAUGCAACAAUCGGACAGAGAAAGGUUUUAGAGUAUUUUGCUUACCUUCUAGUAAAAGGAAUAAAGCACGUCGAGAGAAAUGGGCUACGUUAAUUGGACGAAACACAUUGCCCGAAAAGGCAUAUGUUUGUGAGGUACAUUUUGACAACAAUCAAUUUGAAAAUGAACGAGCGGAUGGAAGGAAACUGCUUCGCCCAAAUACAGUACCGAAUUUACUGCAAAAGCACACAGCUGAAAAUGUAGCCGAACAGCCAGAAGCUACAAUAAAUUCCACUGAGGUGGAAAAUAUAUACUUUUGUUAUAGCGCGAAUACACUUUUCGUUAAAAAAAAAGAUUAUAUCAGCGAGCCAAAUAUCAAUAUCAAUAAU